CUUUGUAUGAUAUAAUUUUUAUUUUUUAACAGCGAAUGGGGUCUUAGCAAAGGAAGACGCGACCCAUAUUUAAGACUAAUAAAAUUGGAUUUUAUCCAUACGGUUUAAGUUGUACACAUUCAAACAUGUCGGAAAGUGUUUCUAUUCGCCCCAUUUUACGGUACCUUUGUUUCUGUCUACU
Long non-coding RNA from Aedes aegypti (yellow fever mosquito), 181 nucleotides. RefSeq lists it as uncharacterized. NCBI's taxonomy places the organism in Eukaryota, Metazoa, Arthropoda, Insecta, Diptera, Culicidae. The record is from RefSeq and is a predicted model, not a curated record. The transcript is spliced from 3 exons.